RNAcentral lists this ribosomal RNA (282 nucleotides) under Leopardus jacobita (Andean mountain cat). RNAcentral describes it as "partial 16S ribosomal RNA". It matches the Rfam family "Bacterial large subunit ribosomal RNA", at positions 2057 to 2514 of the family's 2925-position model. Lineage: Eukaryota; Metazoa; Chordata; Mammalia; Carnivora; Felidae. The record is from RNAcentral.
AGAGGCGGGAAUAUAACAACAAGACGAGAAGACCCUAUGGAGCUUUAAUUAAUCGACCCAAAGAGAUCCCACUAACUAACCGACAGGAACAACAAACCUCUAUAUGGGCCGACAAUUUAGGUUGGGGCGACCUCGGAGAAUAAAACAACCUCCGAGUGAUUUAAAUCUAGACUAACCAGUCAAAAGUAUUACAUCACUUAUUGAUCCAAAAACUUGAUCAACGGAACAAGUUACCCUAGGGAUAACAGCGCAAUCCUAUUUUAGAGUCCAUAUCGACAAUAG